Molecule: ribosomal RNA, 492 nt
Filed under: uncultured bacterium
Lineage: Bacteria
Description: partial 16S ribosomal RNA
Rfam family: Bacterial small subunit ribosomal RNA
Source: RNAcentral
AUUGAACGCUGGCGGCAUGCUGUACACAUGCAAGUCGAACGGUAACAGGCCUUCGGGUGCUGACGAGUGGCGAACGGGUGAGUAAUGCAUCGGAACGUACCCAGAGGUGGGGGAUAACGCAGCGAAAGCUGUGCUAAUACCGCAUGUGAUCUGAGGAUGAAAGCGGGGGACCGAGCAGCAAUGUUUGGCCUCGCGCCUUUGGAGCGGCCGAUGUCGGAUUAGCUAGUUGGUGGGGUAAAGGCCUACCAAGGCGACGAUCCGUAGCUGGUCUGAGAGGACGACCAGCCACACUGGGACUGAGACACGGCCCAGACUCCUACGGGAGGCAGCAGUGGGGAAUUUUGGACAAUGGGCGCAAGCCUGAUCCAGCAAUGCCGCGUGCGGGAAGAAGGCCUUCGGGUUGUAAACCGCUUUUGGCAGGAACGAAACGGUGUCCGCUAAUACCGGGCGCUAAUGACGGUACCUGCAGAAUAAGCACCGGCUAACUACGUG